AGUCGAACGGCAGCACGGGAGCUUGCUCCUGGUGGCGAGUGGCGAACGGGUGAGUAAAGCAUCGGAACGUACCUUGUCGAGGGGGAUAACGCAGCGAAAGUUGUGCUAAUACCGCAUACGUCCUGAGGGAGAAAGCGGGGGACCGCAAGGCCUCGCGCGAUGAGAGCGGCCGAUGUCAGAUUAGCUAGUUGGUGAGGUAAAGGCUCACCAAGGCGACGAUCUGUAGCGGGUCUGAGAGGAUGAUCCGCCACACUGGGACUGAGACACGGCCCAGACUCCUACGGGAGGCAGCAGUGGGGAAUUUUGGACAAUGGGGGAAACCCUGAUCCAGCCAUGCCGCGUGAGUGAAGAAGGCCUUCGGGUUGUAAAGCUCUUUCGGCCGGGAAAAAAUUGCACGGAUGAACAGUCUGUGUAGAUGAUGGUACCGGACUAAGAAGCACCGGCUAACUACGUGCCAGCAGCCGCGGUAAU
Molecule: ribosomal RNA, 471 nt
Filed under: uncultured bacterium
Lineage: Bacteria
Description: bacterial SSU rRNA
Rfam family: Bacterial small subunit ribosomal RNA
Source: RNAcentral